UGGUAACCCGUUGGGGUUUUCUGUGCUGUGAUAAGGUUUGUUCGUUUGCAUUUGGCGUCUGCGUUGCCUUUAUGAGCUGUAGCGCUCACUGCGAAAAUUGGUGAGACGACUCUGUGAAAGUUGCAACUUCAUUUCUGAAGUGGGUGAGACGACGAGCCCAUUAGGAGGAACGGAACACUCACUGCGAAAGUUGCAAUUUCAUUUCUAUAGUGGGUGAGACGACGAGCCCAGUGAGAGUGAACGAACAACUCCAGGCGCGCCGCCUUAAGAGCUAUAGUAUUCACUGAGGGUUUGCGGUUUUAUUCUUGAAGUCAGUGAAACCAAAAACCAAUUUCUGGGUGUAAAAAGACCAAGGUUCUUGCAAGGUUGCUCCUCCCAAAUUCCUUCAGAUAGGGGAAGACACACAGUUUACAAGAACAUUUUGAAUCUUACUCAUUUUCAAGUAUAUAAUAUAUAUUUUUAAUUGUAGCCAACAUGACUUACAAUAAGUAAACUUAAAAAGAUAUAAGCCACCCAUGUUGGGUGUGGGGGUACAUGCCAGUAAUCCCAGCUGCGUGGGAGGCUGAGGUGGGGUAGAUUGCUGGAGUCCAGGAAUUUGAGGCCAGCCUGGGCAACAUAACACCCCAUUUCUGAAAGUAAACAAAGCCCUAAUUAUGUUCAUUUUCCCCCUUCAUUUUCAGAUUUCCCAUUUUGGCCACGCUUCACAUGCGACACAUAUAGAAGUACACAGCAGCUUCCCCCCUUACCUGCAAGGGAUAUGUUCAGAGAUCUCCAGUGGAUGCCUGAAACUAUGGAUAGUACUGAAUCCUAUAUAUACUGUUUUUUUCUAUACAUAUAAUAAAGUUUAUAAAUUAGGUACAGUAAGAGAUUAAAAACUCAAAAUAUGAGUUAAACUCAUAUGCAAUAUAAUAUAUGCAAUAAAAUUGAAAUACUGUCAAACUCUGUAAAGUAUUUGAAGAGAUUUGUUCUGAGCCAAAUGUGAGUGACCGUGGCCUCUGACACAGCCCCUGGAGAUCCUGAGAACACGUGCCCAAGGUGGUGGUGGUCAGGGGGGAGCUUCUGGGUCGCAGGUGGAUUCCAAGAUUUUCUGGUUGAAAGUUCAUCUAAAGACCUGAAAUCAAUAGAAGGGAGUGUGUGGGUUAAGAUAAGGUGUUGUGGAGACCAAGGGUCUUAUUCUGCAGAUGAAGCGAGCAGGCUUCAGAGAGCAUCUAUUGUAAAUGUCUCUUUUCAGACUCUCCUGGAUCAGGAGAAAGACCCGGAAAGGGAAGGAGAUUAUCUACAAAAAUGUAGAUUUUCCCCACAAGAGGCAGCUUUGCAGGGCCAUUUCAAAAUAUGUCAAAGAAAUAUGUUUUGGGGUAAAAUACUUCAAUUUCUUUCAGGGCCCGUUGUCUGUCAUGUUGGUAGCUAAUUGCUAGAUAGAGUCUGUUUUGUCAGCGUUAAGGUCUGUUUUAAUGUAAUGCUGGUCAGCUGUGCCUGAAUUCCAACGGGAGGAAGGUAGAAUGAGGCAUGUCUGAGCCCCUCCUCCCUAUUUCACAUCGUGGCCUGAACUAGUGUUUCAGGUUUACUUUCGAAUGCCUUUGGCUGAGAGGAGGGGUCCAUUUGGUUGGGGGGCUUAGAAUUUUAUUUUUGGGCCAGGCUUGGUGGUUCAUGCCUAUAAUCCCAGCGCUUUGGGACGCUGAGGCGGGCGGAUCACCUGAGGUCGGGAGUUCGAGACCAGCCUGACCAACACAGAGAAACCCUGUCUCUACUAAAAAUACAAAAUUAUCUGGGCGUGGUGGCGCAUGCCUGUAAUCCCAGCUACUCGGAAGGCUGAGGCAGGAGAAUCGCUUGAACCCAGGAGGCGGAGAUUGCGGUGAGCCGAGAUCGCGCCGUUGCACUGCAGCCUGGGCAAUAAGAGUUAAGCUCCAUCUCAAAAAAAAAAAAAAAAAGUAUUUUAUUUUUGGUUUACAAUAACAUACUGUAAUAAAAGUUACGUAAAUAUAGGCCAGGCGCGGUGGCUCACGCCUGUAAUCCUAGCACUUUGGGAGGCUGAGGCCGGCAGAUCACUUGAGGUCAGGAGUUUGAGACCAGCCUGGUCAACAUGGUAAAACCCCAUCUCUACUAAAAAUACAAAAAUUAGCCGGGCGUGGUGGUGCACCCCUGUAAUCCUAACUACUCAGGAGGCUGAGGCAGGAGAAUCUCUUGAACCAGGGAGGUGGAAGUUGCAGUGAGCCAAGAUCACGCUGCACUGCAGCCUGGGGGACAAGAGCGAAACUCCGUCUCAAAAAAAGUUAUGUAAAUAUGAUCUCUCUCUCUCCCUCUCUCUCUCUCACACCCACAGUGCUGUACUCACCUAUUUUUGGACCAUGGGUAACUGAAACACUGGAAAAUGAAACCUUCAAUAACUGGUAACUACUGUGUAGGUGCCAUGUAGGGUUUGUGGACUCCUAAUGAGGAAAAAGGAGUGAGGCUGGCAGGACCAGGGGAAAGCAAAGAGAGAAAGCAGAUAAGCUAUAGGUUCGCUUUUCUUUAUGGCCCAAGACAUAUGGCCCACCUGUGC
RNAcentral lists this long non-coding RNA (2539 nucleotides) under Homo sapiens (human). RNAcentral's name for it is "non-protein coding lnc-NQO2-3:3". Lineage: Eukaryota; Metazoa; Chordata; Mammalia; Primates; Hominidae. The record is from RNAcentral.